AAUGACUUGGUUGCUAGUGUGACUUGACCGUCCCAGCUCCUUCCGGGUUGAACGGUUGAGUGGAACCCGUCCUCGGUCGGCAAGGAUCAUGGUGGUUGAUAUCAUGGUAGGUUUCACCAUGAUAUUAUGUAUCGAUGAUAGAACUAUCGUUAUUUUCCACUGCUGUUGAACUCUGAACCACUCCUUUAUGCAUUUGAACUAUCAGCUUGUAAUAACUUAAAUUGGG
This 226-nucleotide long non-coding RNA is filed under the name Setaria italica (foxtail millet). RNAcentral describes it as "long non-coding RNA (SITA_LNC006912)". Lineage: Eukaryota; Viridiplantae; Streptophyta; Magnoliopsida; Poales; Poaceae. The record is from RNAcentral.